UACAGAGGUGGCAAGCGUUGUUCGGAAUUACUGGGCGUAAAGGGCGCGUAGGCGGCCUCGCAAGUCCCGUGUGAAAUCCCUCGGCUCAACUGAGGAAUGGCACGGGAAACUGCGGGGCUUGAGUUCGGGAGAGGGAAGCGGAAUUCCGGGUGUAGCGGUGAAAUGCGUAGAUAUCCGGAGGAACACCGGUGGCGAAGGCGGCUUCCUGGACCGAUACUGACGCUGAGGCGCGAAAGCUAGGGGAGCAAACGGG
This 253-nucleotide ribosomal RNA is filed under the name uncultured bacterium. RNAcentral's name for it is "partial 16S ribosomal RNA". It matches the Rfam family "Bacterial small subunit ribosomal RNA", at positions 524 to 776 of the family's 1533-position model. The record is from RNAcentral.